UAUAUGAUUUUUGAAGAAAAUUGUGCUUGAGUUUUAGAUAUGAAGGGGUCAUAUUUUAGAGAACAAAAACAGAAAAGAAAAUGAAUGGGAGAAAAGAAGCAAAUAGUCUCUUGAAUAAAACCUUCACAUAAAAUAUAUAUACCUUAUAAGUUCUAAAUUCUAAUAAAAUAUCCGCUGCAGCACAUUGUCUAAAGCAAACAUUCUAAUUUAAUAGUGGAUCAGAAUUCUCGGUUCGAAGCCCGGCAGCGGAAAAAUCCUUUUGGUGCUUUUUAUAAUGUAUCUUGUAUGACAAUUUAAGAUACUUUCUCAUAUUGUUCUUUCUUCUCUGCUCAUUGUUAUGGUUUUUAUACUAUAUUAUAUGAUUCUUGAAAAAAAUCGUGCUUGAGUUUUAGAUAUGAGGGGGUCAUAUUUUCGACAACAAAAACAGAAAAGAAAAUGAAAGGGAGAAAAGAAGCAAAUACUCUCUUCAAUAAAACCUUCACAUAAAACAUAUAUACCGUAUAAAUUCUAAAUUCUAACAAAAGGUCCGCUGUAGCACAUUGUCUAAAACAAACAUUCUA
RNAcentral lists this small RNA (560 nucleotides) under Arabidopsis thaliana (thale cress). RNAcentral's name for it is "ATSL277140". The record is from RNAcentral. Lineage: Eukaryota; Viridiplantae; Streptophyta; Magnoliopsida; Brassicales; Brassicaceae.